Molecule: ribosomal RNA, 445 nt
Filed under: uncultured Mucilaginibacter sp.
Lineage: Bacteria; Pseudomonadati; Bacteroidota; Sphingobacteriia; Sphingobacteriales; Sphingobacteriaceae
Description: bacterial SSU rRNA
Rfam family: Bacterial small subunit ribosomal RNA
Source: RNAcentral
CUGAAUGUACUCUGAGAAUAAGGAUCGGCUAACUCCGUGCCAGCAGCCGCGGUAAUACGGAGGAUCCGAGCGUUAUCCGGAUUUAUUGGGUUUAAAGGGUGCGUAGGCGGCCUGUUAAGUCAGGGGUGAAAGACGGUAGCUUAACUAUCGCAGUGCCUUUGAUACUGAUGGGCUUGAAUGGACUAGAGGUAGGCGGAAUGUGACAAGUAGCGGUGAAAUGCAUAGAUAUGUCACAGAACACCAAUUGCGAAGGCAGCUUACUAUGGUUUAAUUGACGCUGAGGCACGAAAGCGUGGGGAUCAAACAGGAUUAGAUACCCUGGUAGUCCACGCCCUAAACGAUGAACACUCGAUGUUAGCGAUAUACAGUUAGCGUCUAAGCGAAAGCGUUAAGUGUUCCACCUGGGGAGUACGCCCGCAAGGGUGAAACUCAAAGGAAUUGACGG